Molecule: RNA transcript, 1561 nt
Organism: Diospyros lotus (date-plum)
Lineage: Eukaryota; Viridiplantae; Streptophyta; Magnoliopsida; Ericales; Ebenaceae
Gene name: ATP-dependent RNA helicase eIF4A
Exons: 8
Source: RefSeq, a predicted model, not a curated record
GCUCGGCAAGAAGUUGCAUUAAGUUGCAUUGCUCUGAACCUGUCCCGGGGGAGGGAGAGAGAAAGGGGCUUUUCCUGGUUGUAUCAGAGCAGAUGGCGACGGACGUGGUUGAAGCGGCGUCGCCGGCAUCACAGUCGCCUUCCCAUUAUAGUCAACCACGCCACUUCUACCUUGCAGUCGACAGACUCCACUUCAAGAUGGAGACUUUGGUGGAUUUGUUGGGGAUGGCCGGCCGGCGGCCGUCUCUGCCGAUGGUUGUGUGCUGCAACGCUCGCGACGACCUUGAUGCUGUCUGCUCGGCCGCAUCUAAACUAUCCCACAUUUCCAUGGCGUCUCUGUACAGUGACUUAGCUGAAGCAGAACGUGGGAUGAUUUUUGAGAAAUUCAAGCAAGCAACAAUGAGGUGGAAUCAAGAUGCCACUCUUCAAUCUGGAGAUGGCAUUGAAACUGGGAAAGACGAGCAGAAGUCUCACUUGAUUGUUGUAACAGAUGCUUGCCUUCCACUUCUUGCUUCUGGGGAAACACCAAUGGCUGCCCGUGUUUUAGUAAAUUAUGAGUUGCCAAUGAAGAAGGAAACAUAUACAAGACGCAUGGCAACUUGUUUGGCUACAGAUGGGAUUGUAAUUAACAUGGUUGUUGGGGGUGAGGUGGUAACUUUGAAAAACAUUGAAGAAAGCAGUGGCCUUGUCAUAGCUGAAAUGCCCAUAAAUAUCUUUGAAAUGCUGUGAACGCUUGCAAUCUGGGAAAUCAGUGAAAGGACUUCAACUGUACUCUUUUCGGACACUGAUGGAUGAGGUAGCUUUGGAAGCAAAGCCAAAUAAGGAAACUAAUUUGACCACAAGGCCGUGUGAUUUUUUAGUUGGAAUGGUCCGGAUGGAUAUCAUUAGGUUUGGUAUGAGUUAUGGAGCAGGGCAACAGUUACAACUUCAAGAAGGUGAAGUUUUGUCUCACUCUUAAUUAGUAAUCUGAUAUCGCUUAAAACAAGGCAGUGGGCCCUUGGAUCAUCUUCCUGAAAACAGUAUAGUUUCCUUUGAAACUGUUAUCAAAUGAUCCAGACACAGCUCCAUGUUUCCUGCUGCCAAAUUAUCGCGUAAUUUGCCCUCCUUGGGGCCUUGAUUUCGUCUGGCCCCACGUUGCCCUUCGGAAUUAUUUCUUGCCACCAUUGAUAGAAACACCAACGUGUAGCAUUCUGUGAUCAUCAGGCCGUCAAUGAGCACCUCUACCCUUAUUUGUUGAUUUUCUGAUUAUAGAAAUGACUUGCAUUUAUGGGUGGCUGUUUUGAAACACUGCGGAUAUGAAGAUUCUCAGCGGUUUGUUGUUUUGAUUAUUGAGACAAAGUUGCUAUAGAAAUAUCAGGUACGGCAUUCAUCUCACUUAACCUGUCAUUUAAAGUGAAAAGGGUAAGGUCGUGGACAUAAAAUUUUGUAUGAAGUAAUGUGCUCAAUAUUUUGUCUUCUUGUUUCAUAAGAAAAAAUUUCGUUAUAAUAAUUUAAAUUUAUGUUAAUGUUAUUGUUAUGUCGUUUUUUGACAAGUAGAUAUAAAGAGCCAAUCAUUCUAGUUG